Molecule: ribosomal RNA, 429 nt
Filed under: Actinomycetes bacterium
Lineage: Bacteria; Bacillati; Actinomycetota; Actinomycetes
Description: Actinobacteria bacterium partial 16S ribosomal RNA
Rfam family: Bacterial small subunit ribosomal RNA
Source: RNAcentral
UAGGGAAUCUUCCGCAAUGGGCGAAAGCUUGACGGAGUAACGCCGCGUGAGUGAUGAAGGUCUUCGGAUCGUAAAACUCUGUUAUUAGGGAAGAACAAAUGUGUAAGUAACUAUGCACGUCUUGACGGUACCUAAUCAGAAAGCCACGGCUAACUACGUGCCAGCAGCCGCGGUAAUACGUAGGUGGCAAGCGUUAUCCGGAAUUAUUGGGCGUAAAGCGCGCGUAGGCGGUUUUUUAAGUCUGAUGUGAAAGCCCACGGCUCAACCGGGGAGGGUCAUUGGAAACUGGAAAACUUGAGUGCAGAAGAGGAAAGUGGAAUUCCAUGUGUAGCGGUGAAAUGCGCAGAGAUAUGGAGGAACACCAGUGGCGAAGGCGACUUUCUGGUCUGUAACUGACGCUGAUGUGCGAAAGCGUGGGGAUCAAACAGG